RNAcentral lists this ribosomal RNA (236 nucleotides) under uncultured bacterium. RNAcentral describes it as "partial 16S ribosomal RNA". It matches the Rfam family "Bacterial small subunit ribosomal RNA", at positions 100 to 334 of the family's 1533-position model. The record is from RNAcentral.
CGGGACGGGUGAGUAACGCGUGGAUAACCUGCCUCGCACUGGGGGAUAACAGUUAGAAAUGACUGCUAAUACCGCAUAAGCGCACAGUACCGCAUGGUACGGUGUGAAAAACUCCGGUGGUGUGAGAUGGAUCCGCGUCUGAUUAGCCAGUUGGCGGGGUAACGGCCCACCAAGGCGACGAUCGGUAGCCGGACUGAGAGGUUGAACGGCCACAUUGGGACUGAGACACGGCCCAG